RNAcentral lists this ribosomal RNA (500 nucleotides) under uncultured bacterium. Its description in RNAcentral is "partial 16S ribosomal RNA". It matches the Rfam family "Bacterial small subunit ribosomal RNA", at positions 30 to 523 of the family's 1533-position model. The record is from RNAcentral.
AUUGAACGCUGGCGGCAGGCCUAACACAUGCAAGUCGAGCGGAUGAGAGGAGCUUGCUCCUCGAUUCAGCGGCGGACGGGUGAGUAAUGCCUAGGAAUCUGCCUAGUAGUGGGGGACAACGUUUCGAAAGGAACGCUAAUACCGCAUACGUCCUACGGGAGAAAGUGGGGGAUCUUCGGACCUCACGCUAUUAGAUGAGCCUAGGUCGGAUUAGCUAGUUGGUAGGGUAACGGCCUACCAAGGCGACGAUCCGUAACUGGUCUGAGAGGAUGAUCAGUCACACUGGAACUGAGACACGGUCCAGACUCCUACGGGAGGCAGCAGUGGGGAAUAUUGGACAAUGGGCGAAAGCCUGAUCCAGCCAUGCCGCGUGUGUGAAGAAGGCCUUCGGGUCGUAAAGCACUUUAAGUUGGGAGGAAGGGCUUACAGCGAAUACCUGUGAGUUUUGACGUUACCGACAGAAUAAGCACCGGCUAACUUCGUGCCAGCCGCCGCCGUAA